UGUUCUUUGGAUACUGUAUUGACUAAAAUGCCCAAAACCUUAUGUGCGAUUCAUCUGGAUGUUACAACAGAAAAGCACAAGAGUUCAGUACAUAGAAGAAAUAAAUCAGGAGUUAGUAGACUUGUGUCAGCUUUCCUCCCAAAGUUCCUAAUAUUCGAUUCUGUAGCUAUUUCAAGGAAGCCAUCGUUUUGCUUCAAAGAGAGCCUUAGCUGGUAGCGGUGCAUUUGACUGUUUCCUGAUUGUCAUGACAUGAGCAGUAUAACUGUAUAGCUUUCUGAAAACUGAGCAUUGGUAUCAUAUUGAUAAACAAGAUAAUUUUCUCUAUACCAUACACAUAUCCAACAUACAUAUCAAGCAGAAAAGCAUUUAAGCAAUCUCUUACAUAUUCCAUCCCAGGGUAAUAUCAAAUAUACAUAUGACCAAACCAAUUCCAUGGAUGCAACAAUAUAUUAUCAGAUCUUCACCUUGUCACAGCCUCACAGGGUCAAAGUAAACAAGUACUAGCCAAGAAAUCGUUUCUUCAUCUCUGUGAUGUACUUUUCAGACCUCUUGUUGAUGUCUUCUACAGAGACUAUACCUUUGCUUGGGUUCCCAGUCUUCUUCCAGCCUGCAGAGACAUCAUGACCAGAAGUAGGGUACUUUCCAGUUGCCGCCACUGGCUUAGCAUAGAUUGACGGUUUGGUGAGGAUGUUGUAGACGAGGUCAAUCUUUUCAACUUUUUGAAUCCUAACCUCACCUUCGAUGGGAGGGGCCAUGGUGGUAUUGGCACGUCGGCGAAACAUCUUCAAUUGGUUUUUGCUGGAAGGGAGUACUCUAUAUUGCUAAGCUAGAGUUUGCUCUUGAGCUUGCUUGGCACUGGCGGGAUGAUGGUGGUCUCUAUAUUUAUAGGCGGCCUGCGUGUUGUUUUCUUGUGAGAUUCCCUAGCUAGGCACUAUUCCCAUUUGUCUCUAGUUUGAGAAGCAAUCAGUACUCCCAUUUGUUGUCUGAAAUGUCUUUGCUAGAUGCUCUAUGAAUUAAGCAGGUGAAAAUUAAAUUAUCACUUGGGCAUCUUUGUGGAGACCCUGAUGUAAAAAUAUCAGCAUCCUUAACACGCACCCCAUAGCAGAAAGUGAAAGGCACAGAUCUCAAUUGAAGGAAGCAUCACGGAAGGGAAGUGAAUGACCUAGUUCCACGGUUGAUCUUCAAUUUGAACGUCAUGGUUGGAUGGUUAUAACUUGACCCUUUACAUUCUGUGAAGAACAAUUAAUCCGAAUUCCGAAGUGUAGGAAGAAUGUGUGGGCACAUAUAUAUUUUGUGCAUAUAUAAUCCAUGACAGAAGGACAACAGUCAUGUUAGUUUCACUGCACUACUACUGGCAGUGCCUCUUUUUUUUACUAGCUCCCCUGUUCGGCCGAACUACCUAUACCUCGCGCGCUAAGUGGAAAUGGAGCUCACUCGCCAACAAAAAAAAAGUUGCACUUUUGCAAAUAAUUUUAACCAUUAAGUUGCAGUUCAGAUUGGCCAGUGGCACUGUCUACUAGUGUGGAAUCUCCGCUACCCAAUUAGUUUGGUGGUGGAAUCUGAUUAGAUAAAAUUAACAUGAUUAUGAAGAAAGAGUGAUUGUACAUCUAUAACAAUGCUUAAAAGUACAAAAUCAUAUCUUGCAGACAUAUCUACACAAAUUGCAGCUAGCUGUCUGCACGUAAUUUGACAUGACAAGCAAAUUAAGUGAGCAUCCUUCAAAGACUUCAAGAAAUCAACUAGAAAGCAGAGGAAACAAUUAAAUCAGCUAGUUAAUUACAUGCAGCUGAUCUAUAUGAAUCAAGAGCAUAUAGUAGGAUUUGGGAAAGUGCCAAGAAACUGACUGGUAAUGGAAUUAAUUGCAACCUUGACCCCUCCUACUAAGAAUCUAAGAUCCAAACUCCUUAUUUAAACACAAUAUCCAUUGCAUGCGGAUGUGCUACUUCCUCUGAUAAAAAUUUUUAACUCAUUUUAAACUUUUGCAUAAAUAUUAGUAGUAAAGUGGAUAACAUGACAUUGUUACUCUUCAUGUAUCUAGAGUUUUUGGUAUAGCAUAUUUAGAAAGGUGGGGAAGGCUACUGAACCAAUAUAUAUAUUUGGAAUCAGAUAUGUCACCAAGAAUCUAGCCCUUGUUUUCGGUCCCAAAUAACUGACUGGCAAUCGUUUAAGAACCAUGACAGGCUAGUCCUACGUCCCAGUCAGUAAAUUUAAUUUUUAAUCCUAUCACAGAGAUGUUCAUUCUAAAAGCAUAAAUAUGCCGGCUCUAUUUUUAAGAGGUUGAUGGUCGGCAAGCAGAAAAAUCAUGGAAAGCCCCAUCUCCUGAAAAUCCAAAAGCGUAAGUGGAAUCUGUGCCUGUUCAUUGUCUGUUCCCACAGAAAUUGUUCGAAAUGUUGGACCCUUAAUUUCCGUCAAAACAGAAGAUAUCAUUGCAAGUGGGACUAAUAAUAUAAUUCCUGUCGGAUACAGCUUGCUGAUGAUCAUAGCCUAGGGAGCUCAUACAGCACUGGGAUCUAUGCCAUCCGUCGAUCAAUUAUACUCGUGGCGAUCGCGAUCAAAAUGGAGAUCAAAGUUGCAGCCACAAUCACAAGUGAUUUUCAUUUAAACAUUUAGAAAAAAAGGAAUUAUGGUCUUUGCGACUGCACACAGCCAAGACUCCAUUUACUUGUUUAUCUCUCUCUCACUUAUGCUACUCGCUAGUUGUUCGAUCGUCCUCCAAUGGUUCAUCUUGAUCUGUAACUCAAAUGAAAAAAAUAAUGUGGCAUUUGCAAAAAUACCUUUGUUCUAGAAGACCUAUCAUUGGUGUGAUUGAAUGAGGGCUAGAAACUUAUAACCAUCCAACAUUCAUGUAAAUGUUAGACACCUUCAUAAGAUUAGAGGAUGCCCUAACGAACUGAGAUAUUUUAGAUUGUCCUGAUCAUCAUCAUGUGAGAUGAGACCCUACAUAUCAUUUUCAAUCAAUAAAGGACAAGUUGCUUAAUCUCAAUGUCCCACAAGUGAAAAGAACACGAAGAAUUUGUUCGAAGUGUCUCAUUCCUGCUUUGGGAAACAGACCAGCACUUCUCAUAUAAAAAGACAAAAACUAAAGUUGGUGCACUGCUUGAUCAAAAUCGAUGGCAUUACAGAUGUGCAUGUAAGUCUUUGUCGAUCUGCUGAACUUUUGCUGCAGGCCAUUCAAAAAUUAAAAAUUCAUAUUACCAAUAAAGAAAGGGAUUUCAGAAAGUAACUAUCUUAGAUUGAACCAAUAGCUGUUGAACACUGGUAGAUAAAGAUAUAUAUAUUAUAUAUAAGAUCAACUAAUCAUAUCUUGUUAUAUAUGUAUGUAUAUCAUAAAGCAAGAAGCGCCGGACAUGAUACAUAUGUGCAGUACUAUGCAUAAAUUAAGCAGUAUAUCAUAGAUGACAUUCUGGUGCUACUUGACUUACAUAGUACAAAGCUGUGCUAUAUGUAUAAAUAGAGAGCAUUAAAUCAUGAGCACCAGAGUUGGGCUUUUAGACUUUUCAUCUCUUCUGAGACAAACUAAGGGUCUGGCUCAACAAAUUGCUUCUUCUUCAUCGCGAUGUAGUCAUCGAUAUCUUUCUUCGAUGGCACACCCUCAAGCGGGACCCUAAACAUCUUCUGGCCAGAGACCUCAACAUCAGCAGGUGGCUUUGCCACCACCGUCACCGCCGUCGGGUUGGUGUACAUAGAAGGUCUUCUGACCAGGUUGUAGACAGGCUCAAUCUUGUCCACCUUCUGCACGCUCACCUCACCGUCGGCAAGAAAACGGUUCUUGUUGCGAAACAUGGUGUGUGUUUACUGGUUUGUCGCAAGAGAGGAGGCUAGCACUAGCAGGAUGAAUUGUUGAGGUUGCUUGCCUUCCAUGGUGCUGGUGGUGGUCUCCAUUUAUAGGCCCUGUGGGGGUUUGUACUAUUCACUGUGAUAUUAGUGAGAAUUAAAGGUAGAUGCAGUAUUUUUUUUUCAUAUGUUGACUUUGGUUACUAGAUGCAGUAGGUACAAGUUAGCUUGACAAUGGGCAGAGCCUCCAAAGCUCCGGCUAGUGUGAAUACAUUAGCAUCCUUAAAUUUCAACCACAUACUCGAAAGUAAAAAAGGCUUGUGCAUGUCUCCAACGAAGGCAAGUAGCUUCAUGGAAGGGAGAGUUCAAGGGUGAAUAAUCUAGCUGACCCUUCUCUGUCUCUGAACAGUCCAAAGAUCAGGAUCUAAUAGUUAGAAGUUAGGUAUCCAUUUGUGCAUAUUUGAUGUUUCUGUCAAGGCCUGAUUGAUUUUGGGAUCUGCUGGUCGGGACAGGUAAGGUACUAAGGUGCCAUACAUAGUGCACUGGCGAAACCAUUUAUACAGAUGUACUACAUCACAAGAGAGAUUGUAGCAUAUUGUAGCUGAACAUCAGUUUUCUCAGGUUUAGCCAAGGCUUAGCUCCAGGAUUGCACUACUCACCUAAUUUGGUUUGUCACAUGACUUGCGGCCUUGAGUAGGACCAUGGGGAUCAAUGUUUGCUAAUUCUUCAGUUUCUUUGAUCAUGUCCAUUUCAUGGAACACAAAACAUUGCUGAACAAAAUUUAAAUUCAGUGCCUCCCCUCUUUUCCCCUACAAUUUUUGUCAGGUGAUCAGGGAUACAACAUCGCCAACGUACAGAAUAUCUGCAAGCAAGCCGUGUAGGUGUCAAUUGGCAAAAGGAAAGAAUCCAAUUAAGUGCAAAUACGAUAUCGAUCUUUGGAGACCUAACUUUACUCUAGUAGGUAGAUUAAUUAAUCAUGAAACCUUCUUGUUCCGUAUCGGACACGAGUGACUACACAUAAUCUCAGGUUCUUGUUAGUGGAGUUCUAACUCCUCAUUAUUUGACAAGUGUGCAUGCUAAUAUCAGGUGCUAACACUUUUCGAUGGCAACACGCAACUCUGCCAAGACUCGAAUGAUGUCGAAUCAACCUGAGAAUAGACCGUGUUUGCCAUUGCCGGCUUACCAAAAUAGAUGAACACUACGCACCAUCACAUUGAUCUAAUCACCUGUGUCACAUUAGCAACUUAUCUUGUUAGCAUCAGGUUUUUUAAAUUGUGCUGUUUCAUGUGCAUGAGCAACAUUUUUCUUGACCAUUCUGCAUUUCAAGUGAAGCCUAAAUCAGCAAAAGAGGGUUAGCUGUUUGGGGUGCGCUUUAAGCCAUCACCUAAGGCUAGGGAUCGCUUUGCGUAAAAGAGGCUAAGUUAGGGGGUCUUGGGGCUUAUUUACAAGGUCUAAGGAUUUAGUUGCACAUCCAGGGACCUAUUUGUAAGUCCUAGGGGCUCUUUUAGAAAUUCCAGGAAACUUCUUAUAAUAUUUGAUCCCACUAAUGGAAUAAAUGUAAACAACCGCCUCCUCCUUUCUAUAAAUAGAUCCCUAAGGCUUGGAGGAGAGGACCUUUUACCCAUUUUCUCACUUGCUCACUUAGCUUGCUCUCUCUCUCACUUAUCACUCUAAGGUUAUUAAGUUGAGCUUGAGUUCUUUUUUCAAAAUCUGUCUCGUUUCGUCGCCGCUACUUUAGCUCGAGGCUUUGACCUUCAUCACAACCUUCACCUCAAUCAUCACUUCGGCUUCAAGGGCUUGUGGUCAACUUCGACUUCAUCGUCAUGACCUUCGAUAUUGCCAUCAACCUCGCCUCCAUCGCCACUUCGGCUCGAGAGCUCGCUGGCUCGUCGUCAACUUCAAUGGCAACAGCAUAACCUUCGACCACUACUUAAACCUCUAGGUCAUUUUACGUCGACUACUUCAACUACAUGCGAAGCUUAUCUCACGAGCACCAGCCAAGAGGGGCUGGGGGUGUACUGGAGGACCAGUUCAUCUCAGACAAUAGAGUCUUGUCCGGCGCUCGUGAGAGAAGACUUGAAGAUGUAGCGGUCUACUCCGACUAUGUUGGCUCUUGGAGCAGGCCUACUGUGGAGAUAUAUUGGAGGACCAGUUCAUCUUGAACGAUGGAAUUCUAUACGAAACUCAAAAGAGAAGCCACCCGCCGAUCGAAGCUCAAGAGCCAAACGGCCCUCGAAAUCAAAGCUCUAGAGGGUCUAAAACUAGCGCUUGUGUAAAUCGAUGCAUGUGCAUGCUCUUUUCUCCAUGCCUUUUUUUCCCACUGGAUUUUUGGGCUAGAGUUUUUAGCGAGGCACAUAUGUAGGGGUUGCAAAGGAUAUUUCUUACAAUCGGGAGCCGGAUUGUAGAUAUGCCUCUUUUAAUAGGAUCGGCUACUCGGCCUUGUUGCGCCAGCCGAGAUCGAAUAGACGAGGGGCUACUGUUGGGGUGCGCGUUAGGUCAUCAGCUAAGGCUAGGGAUCCCCUUUUGUAUAAAAGAGACUAAGUCAGGGGUCUUGGGGUUUGUUUACGAGGUCUAACAACUUAAUUGCACAUCCAGAGAUCUAUUUGUAAGUCCCUGAAAGUGCAUCUAGGCCCCUAGUGGGUUAUUGAUGAAUUGAAUGACACCACGAUUAAAGAACUAAUCAACUUAUUGAGUAUAUGAGCAGGAAGUGAUUAUUAUAUCAAUAGAAUAUUUGUGAUGAAAGAUAUUGAAAGUAAAUACAAAAGGCUCAUAUGACAAGAUGCGUGACUAGGCUAUGAUUAAAGUAACAAUAUUGACAAGCAAUAAAUACUAUAUGGAUUGAGUCACGUGUUUGAUAACAACUAUUUAUUCUCAUAUCUAAAUGAAGCUUGUUGACAAAGUUAUAACACUAGAAAGAAAUUUCUUGUGAAGAAAUGGAAAAUCUAUCAAUAGAAGAUAUAAGUUGCAAAGAAUUGUAAAGAAUGGAUUUCACUGAUGAUUUAAUUAUGAUACAAAUCUAUAUGGAACUUUAUGUGAUGCAAGGAUGAAGAGUUGGAAUUCGGGAUAGUUUUUCGAGGGGCUAAGCUUGGCGAAGGGUAAUUGGUUUGUGCCGAGGCACCAACGCUAAGGUGAAGAAACUUUUUUGAUUCAACUUGAAGAAUCUUGGUUAUAUAUGGUGUUUAUAUUAGCAAGUAUCAAUGUUUCUAGAAUCUUACACUGAAGAUGUUGAUUUGAACUAGAAGUGGAUUUCAUUUAAAGAUAAUGGUUCAAGUCACUGGCUCAAGGAUGUAAGUUACAGAAAUCAAGUUGGAUGCACUUCUCAGAUUGAGAAUGAUCAACGCACGGCAUGGUAAGAAACUUAAGUGGUUGAAAUAUAAUCUAUUUUUUAUCUUGAGUACAGAUGUGCCGUACUAUCAAGAGUGAUGCAUCACAUUGUAUUUUGGUUUAGUCUCAGUGCUCAAGUAACCCAAGUAAGUUGAGAGAGAUACAAAAGUCUCAAGUGCACAUUGGGUGAAAUUAACAAGGGCAACCCGGAAGUUCCAGCUUUCCCAACCCAGAAGUUCCGGGUUUUGCUUACAUGGCACUGACGGCUAGUAGGUUUGAAAACUCGGAAGUACCGGGUUCUAACUAUCACAUAGCGACUAGUUUCUUUGGACCCAGCUAUUUAUACUCUUGAACCCUCUCCUUGAUAGGCUGCUGUUCCAGGCAUUACUAUGCUGCUUGCUGGUCAUCCUAAGAAAGUUUGGUAGCCUUGUUGAGCUCUCCCCAACCUCUCUUUGUGAGAUUGUGUGAUUCUUAUAAUAUCUUUGAAUUGGAUUUGAGUGAGUGAAAGUGUGAAAGCACUAGAGAGCACAGCAAACCUUGAGCACUUGAGUUUAGUCGAAAUCUUGUGUUUCACAUUUGUUACUCUUGGAGUUUUGGCUCCUAGACGGCUAGGUGUUACCUGGGGAGCUCCCAAUCGUGUGGUGAGCCGCGGGAAGUUUGUGCAGGUUGCGCUUUGCUUCCGCAAGGGAAGAAGCAAGCUUAGUGAAUUGGGGAAGUAGUUGGAAGAAGACCCAACUCAGUAGGAGUGAGGUGGAAUAGACUCACAUCCUAAAGAGUUCCCCAACGGAGAGUAGAUUCACUGUGCUUUAGUAGCAGCUUUGGUGGCAAGCAAUGAAUCUAAACUUCUGUAAAAACAAAUCUUUGUGUGCCCCACCUUUUUGCCUCUCAUUGUACUUUUGUGAUAUUUGUGAAAUUGGUUGAUCUACUUAGUUGAUAGUAUUUCUGUGUGCAGAAACUGUAUGGAUCUGUAUGGAUCUGCUUCAGAAACUUCGCUAAGCAUACUCUGCAUCCGGGGGUUUGAACUUACUCGCUCUAAAUUUAUUAUGUUCACUCUGCUCUACGUGAACCCGGAAGUUUCGGUUUGUAAAAUCUGGAAGUUUCGAGUUCAUCUACUGCCUUGCUCAAAUUUGAAAGUUCCGGAUUUGCUAAAUUGGAAGUUCCGAGUUUGGCAGGCAGUGAAUUUUAUCCGCUGCCUUGGAGUAAAAAUUUUGUAGGUACACCUAUUCACCCCUUUAUAGAUGACAUCACGGUUCUUUCAGUCCUGUGGGCUCUUUUAUAAAUCUCAGGGAUCUUCUUAUAAUAUUUGACCCUAUCAAUAGAAUAAAUAUAAACAACCGUCUCGUCCUUAGAGCUCUAGAGCUUGGAGAAAAUAACCUUUUGCCUAUUUGCUCAUUUGCUUACUUGGCUUGCUCUUCCUCUCACUUAUCACUGUCUGGUUUCGAUCUAUCCGAACCCAACAUUAGCAACAGAGUAGAUAUUUUAGAAGGUCCUGACAUGCAGAUAAGGAUCAGUCGAUGAGCAAGGGACAGGAAGGUGCCUAAAAAGUACACAAGAGUUGGGUGGAAUGAUGCAGAUUCCUUUGUAGAAAUUGAUCAAAAGUUCUUGAUUCCUGCGUCGACUAGAAGUUUCCACCAAGUGGAGAAAUUGUACAUCAGCAUGAAAUUGGUGUUGGUUAAGUAUGUUUGUUUCUCCGCAGAAGCAUGCUCCUGCACUCUUCAGUAAGUUCGAUGUCUUUCAGGAAUUCAGGUUCUUAUUUAAUUAAAAUUUAAAUUUUUAAUCAACUAGAAAAGGGAAAGACCCCUCAGACAACUAAAUCAUUAAGUAUGUAUUGUAGUAGUAUGCAUGUCUUGUUACAAAAUCACAAGUGCAAGAUUAUAUGCUUGUGACAAACACACUAUCACAGAGGCUGAAACAUCAGGGGCCACAUCCUCAUGGGAGUCUUUUUUUCCAGCUCUGUCUCAGUAAAGAAAAUAGAGAGAAGAAGGAAGUUUACUUCUAUGGAAAAGGUCGUCAUCUUAAAGAGGUCGACACUUCUAUCGUCAUCUAACAUUUUCUCGAUAAAGGAAGUUUUAUUGAUCAAGGUGGUCAUGAAUUCGUGAUUUCAGAUGAUUUUGUAAUAUUCUUUUCACUCUAUUUUUCUAGGAAAGGAAAUUAUGAUCUGGUGAUAGGUUGCUUAUACGGCUCCACAUUGCUCCAACGCCAAAUCAGCGCAAAGGUGUAUCAUCGAUCAUUGGUUGUGAGAAGCAUCAGGUUCGUUCUAGACUCCAAAAUGCAAGACUUGGACUCGUCGCAACAGUCUAGCCUGCAUCUCCCAGAAUUAAACAAGGAAAACACUAGGAAGAAUAUAGACACAUAGUGAAUCAUAUAUAGCAUGGGCAUGCUGCAGCUGUAGGGAGAAUCAGCAUUCUGGCUUUUGUAGGAAGAUAUGUUUGUGGCUCUUUAAAAAGAGCUCUGAUCUUCGACAGAUUGGCCUUAGGAGAUCUACUGCUUAUUGGUGGUUGCAUUCUGGGGAUGAAGAAUAGUACUAGCUAGCUGUCCAUGGUUGAUUCUUCUAGCAAAUUACUAGCAGUUGUUAUAUGGUCUUUGAUCGCGGCCUAGUAUGAUUCUUGCUGAAUCUCUAUUUUCAUAUACAAAAAGAAAAUUCCAAAGGUAGUCAAGUAAAGUCAUGAUGGUAAUAUUUUUAUAUUCAGUUACCUUUUUAGAACUGAACUAUAUAUCGUUACUAUUCUUAACAUUGACAGUCUACUAGACUAUCGCACAGGAAAAUAGUGUGUGAAUUGUCCAUUUUGCAAAGGUCGGAAGCAUGCGUAUGGGUGCCUAUAUCAUGCUGCAGAUGAAAAGAGUAAGAGUGAAGAAACCAUAUGUUCCAAAGUGUUUAUUCCGUGAAUUUUUGAGAUAGCAACUGCAGUGGCUGACUCAUAUGACCAAGCAGUUGCACAAUGCAAGUUUUAUAACAAGAAAGCUCGCACCAUAAGCUUCUUGGAAACACACACGCCCGUAAGCUCACACUGCUGGCGUACGGCUGGAGCGCCCGACUUACAUAGCCACUAUUUUUCCCGACGGAUACAUAUACGUAGCCGUAGGUACUAUGGGCUUUGCCUGACGAAACAGAUUUUACUAGUUGUGCACAAUAGGCACCGAGACAAAAAAGCCGUCGGGCUUUUCAUCCACGUCUCCCACCCGAACAACGCUGACGGUCAGGCUCCUGGUUACCUUGGCCGUCGCCGUUUGCGACGGCUUGGUGGCGACGUUGUAGGCCUCGAUCCUCUCCACUUUCUUCACCCUCACCACACUCUCGACCGGGAGCUCAUUGCUCGAGCUCACGCUCGCCCUAGGGUUGCUGCUGCGGAACAUUUUCCUUCCUUCUCUGGAUUGGAAACGACCCUAAAUUGUUAUGUUCCUCUGACCUUGGUUGUGGUUGUGGCCUCCAUUUAUAGGCUGGAAGCUAGCUAGGAGGCGUGUUCUGGAGGGACUCUGCGUGCAGAGAUAAUGCUGGUGUGCAGUGAUCGAGAGCAAUCAGUGACAAAUCAAAGCUGCAGUGCUCUCAGUCUCAGUUCUAAUGCUUUUCUUUAUGCUGCCAAAAUAUGUUCGGUCGUUGCUGUGCAGAGUGAUCUUUGUAAGCAUCUUGGCAGAACCUCACACAUGCAUGUGGAAAUAUCAUUACCGAAUUCGCAUCGGGUACUCAAAGGGCAUCUUAAUCAAGCUCAGCCCAAGCUAACAGUAGUGCACGUAGCUUGGAAUAUAAUCUGAGCUACUAUUGACGCCGAUUGUGUAGCAUGGGAUGGGAUGAACUUCGUGGUAUAUAUGGACUCUCCGAUUAAAUAAUAUAGUUAUAUAGGUAGUCUGCAUCUUGGCUUGAUAAAAUAGAAGAACUUUUUUCUCCACCAAGAAACCAAAUGGCCUAGCAAGUACGCCAGUCGCCAGGUACUCUAGAGUUCAGGUAGAUAAGAAUCCAUGAGGAUCCGUGGUGUUGAAAAUAUGCACGACGGCAGCAGCGUUGGAGAGAUGCAGCAAGGUACUUUUAUGAUUUUCAGAACCCCUCAUGCCCGUCUGCUAAAGCAGCACUUAAGAUUUUCAGAGAAAGAGAAAAGAGGUGUAGAAUCCAAAAAAUUCAGACACGGGAGAUCUAGUUAAAUUAAGAGGAAACCAGCUGGGGCAAAUAAAGUCGAGAUCUUCCGAAUUAUUCUUCCUGGAUCACCGGUUGAUCAACCGCAUUGCAUGUUCGAAAAUAAUUUAAACCUUCAGCAAAUAAACUUUUCAGUAUUCUUUUAGUAUAUAUUGUUAAACAAUUUGCAAAGUGCACAAGUUAUUUAUUUCUUGCGUGCAUCGCGUGCUCAUCUUCAUCUCAAGAGCUGGGAUAAAGCAGCAGCGUGCUGCACGCUCCAUGCCAAAUAAUUCAGAAGAGACCAACAUUGAGCAUCUCGAAUCUAGAUGGGCUCAACCACCAAAGAAAAAGUUUGGAUGCCGAAUUUCUUCGUAGUCCAAUCGAUCACCUUGACAGGUUUAUUGCUAAAUAUAUUUGUCUCCAUGCAGGGGUUACAUGUACGUGUUGAGCUCAUGUAGGUCGUUAAGGAUCUUACUAUUACUAAUUGAAAACUCUUUUUAAGCUUUCACGUGAAGCUACCUAGAAUACUAGAUGCACACUCUAAAAAAAUAGAGAAAUCUUAGAAAUUCUCACGAAAAUAAAAAACAUCCGACUAUCAGUCUGACAACUCUAAUCAUAAUAGUCAUUAGAUCUGUUAUCUUUCCUAAUAAAUUAUCCACCUCUGUCAUUAUGCAAAUAGACUAAAGUAACCCCUAAACAUGUAUCUAAAUUACCCACCUCUGCCAUUAUAAAAAAAAUUUAAAGUAACCCCCUAAUCUUCGUGUAAAUUACCCCUAAUCUUUGUGUAAAUAAUGCAAAUAACCCCUAAAUUUGCAUAUAAAUUAUCCAAUUAUGUCAUUAUUAAAAGUUAAAAUAACCUUUAAAUCUGAAUCUAAAUUCUAUAAUUAUAAUAAAAUAUUAAAGUUUGCCAAUAUAAAAUUCUAAAUUACUAUUUCUAUCAUUAUUAAUAUAUUAUUUACGUUUCACCAUGUAUUCAUGUACGGAUGGAAGAGAUAAGAAUACCAAUUCACAAAUAAAUGGUUCGAUUAAAUAUAUCACAAACACACAUGGAGGUGUGAUGCAAAAUGAAAUCUAUUGUAGUUAAAUAAUGACAAAUAUGUAUUUUAGAACAUGUGUUAUAAUAUUUAAUAGAUGAAAGAGGCGAGAGAUAGAUAAUUAUAAUUAUUAGCUAUAAGCUUUAUCUUUAUAUUAAUUCUAAUUAGUCCGUGUGGGAACACGGAUUGAUAGGCUAGUGACCUAUAAUUUUGAAUGGAAGGAGUAUUUGUGAGUGAUAUGCACAACGGUCCUUAAACAUGUGGAUUGUUAUAUAGGUCCAAUAACUUCAAAAAUACAAACAAUCUAGGUCUAAAUUGCCAAAAUUACCCCUACAAUUUUGACUUGUUAAUAUGGAAAUCUCCACUCGGAUAUUCCACGUCAGCAAUCCUAGGGGUAUUUUGGGAACUUUGGGACUAGAUGACGCAUUCAACAAGUUUGAGGCCUUAAUCUACAUUUUAAAGUUCAUGAACUUGGGCGACACACUCCAUGAAAAGUUUAAGAACCAACACAUGUUUAUUUGUGAAUUGCCGCUUGUUUCUAUGCUGCGUUAGCUCAUGUGUCAUGCUGAAAGUCUGAAAUUUAUGUACUUGUUCAGUUGGAUUGGAUCAGAACACUUGUUCCGUGCAUAUCUCACAACACAGAUUACUGCUAGCUAAGUAUAAUAAUCUGUAUCAAAGUCUAUGCUUUUAUCUAAAAGAUCAAAGCCUAGGCAUCCUCCUCUCCUUCCAUAACUCCUAUGCAUCCCAAACCGUCCAUGUAAAUUGGAAGCUUAGUGUGCAGAGCGAGCUUCUUAGGAUGACAAAAGCUUGUGAUCGGAAGCUAAAAUAUGGUUUGAUUUCCAAAUUUGAUGAGCUCAUUCUCCAAUCCAACUUGAUGGGGCCUCGUUGCGUUGCCGGUCUUAGGACAUGCUUGUGGCUGAAGCCUGAAGCUAAUUAAAAAACGUGGUUAGAUCGGCUCCGAACUCGAAGAACUCAAUGAACUCAUUGUAUAUUUGGAUCACUUCAUUUUGCAACUCGUUUAGUUUGAAGGUUGCUUGGUUACCUGAUAUUUUAUAGAGGUAUAGUCAUAGCUAUCUCACCAUGCAGUAAACUCUUAACUAUUACAGAAAAAUAAAUAUUACACAGAGUUGCAUCCGCAGAGAUGACAAUGCCACUGAAAACAUGCAUCAAUUAUAUGCUGGUCUUCAUGUUACACACACAGGGCUUCAAAUAUAAGUACUAUGUAUAUGUUCAGGAAAUACUUGUUGGUUCUGUAUAUCUGCAUGAGGUGAUCAGGAUACAUGUUCGAUCAAACUUUAAGACCUUUCGGGCGUUAUCCGUUGAUCCCUUGGAACGCCUCCUUGCUCCUCCUGAUGAAAGCCGCAGCCAGUUCGUCCACGUCCGGCACUGCCUUGCCGUCAGCAGCGGUGGCUGUGGUAACCCGGCCGGCCUCACCAAGGUGAGGCGCUGACGGUAUCCUGUUCUUGACGAGCUCGAGCUUCUCCGCCUCCUCAACAUGGACUUCACCUUCGACAACGACCACACGCGCACCAUUGUUGCCGCCUCGCCACAUCCUGACUUCCACUAGCUCUCUGUAUCCCACUACUAUAUAUCUUACCAGUAUUUACUUCUGCUAGGAAAUUGAGUGGAGGUGAGGAUUAAUGAUCGAAUUUGAGCUGUUUAAGGUUUAUUUUUCCUUUGAUCGGUCGAUUGACGAUCAGUGCACUACUACAGAAUAGGUUUUUCAUCUUUGAUAUUAGUCUCGGCCAGUGUUAGAUCUAGGACUAACGGAUGCAUUAGUUCCGGGUCUAAAAGUUAGAUGGCUGGGGGAACAUUAGUUCCGGUUGGAGCCUCUGACCAGAACUAAAAGCCUCUCUUUAGUCCCGGAUGGUGUUACCAACCAGGACUAAAGGGUCAUCAUUUAGCCCCGGUUGGUGCUAUCAACCCGGACUAAAGGAGUCUCCACAGGUUAGUUCAAAAGUAAGGUAUCCCAACUACAGUUAUAUGUGUUGUGUAGGUAGGGUGGUAAGAAAGCUAUGCGUGAGGCAAAAGAUCUUAGGUUUGAAUCCUGGGUGCGGAGUAAUUUUUUGCUUGCAUGGACACUUUAGUCUCGGAUGCGAGAACCGAGACUAAUCAUUCGGAUUCGUAGUCUGGGACCCGGACGAAUUAUUCGGGUCUCUAGUUCCGGAUUCGUAGUCCCGGUUCCAUAACCGGAACUAAAGCAGGUUAGGUACCCGAACUACCAGCCUAUUCUGUACUUAUAGGCUGGUAUUUAUAGGCUCCAACUCCUGGAGCAGGUUGCUUGGAUCGAUCGCAACUCUUUCUGAUGUGAACAUGGAGUAGCCACUAGAUUCUUAAAGUGGAGUAAAGACUAAUAGCUACUGUGCAAUGCCCGCCUAUGUCAACCAGUCCAUACACGUAAUAAAGAUAUGAGAGCGCUGCAAAGUCCGGGAGAGUUUGGUUGCUGAUUGACAGAUCAAAAUGCUGUCUAUGUUGAACUAGGAAAUGCAUGUUUGCUGUUUAGACACUCUUUGAAUCGAUGCCUUCCUCUUGGGGGGAGUGUCUCCGGUGUGUUUCAGGCUUUCAGACAUUGCGGCCGGAAGCAUCCGGGGGAAUACUACUACUGGAACCAGCUGCAUAAUGAUGAUAAUUUCCUGGCAAAUACUCCAUAUAUAUAUAUGUAUAUAUGAUUGCUCCUCAAUUAUGUAUUUGGUGAUGAUGCUGAAUGUCAUGUUUGUUUUUCCAUAGUACUAUUUAUUCGUGUGGUAGGUUUUUCUAGAUUAAUUGCUGGAAACUCCAAUGAGACAAACUUGUGCACAUAGCACUUAAACUCGAAAUAUCGAACUUUGUAAUAAAAUAUCAAUGAGCUUUAUUGUCUUAGAUUCAAGAACUUAUUUAUACUUGAAACCAGCAACUUGGGAUUUGAUUCUAGAACCCUACUUGAUGGGGUGUCAUCUUUGCCAUAAACUGGCGGCAUUGUGAUGAAAGCAUUUCCAGCUCAGCCUUUUUAAGAUAAACUUAGAGAUUAUGAAGUCUUGAUGGGGCGUGGAAGUUAUUGCGCCAAUUUAUUGUUAACACAUAUCAUAAAAGUAAGCAUGUUACAAGUCUACACUUUUUUAUGCAACGGCAAACUACUAGCUAGUACAUUCGCAAGGUAUUUUGUAAGGCCACCUCUCAUUGAAGAAAACAGAACUUUCAUGCUAGUUACACACUCAAAAGAGGUGCGGUUUAUGUGCAUCCGCUUUUAGUGAAGCGUGUUACAAUAGCACGAAGUUUGCAAUGAAGUUGCUCAUAGGUGCAGUCUUGGCUGACCAUUAUAUUGAGUGGAUGUUGGUCCUGCAGUAAAGGUACACCAAACUGGGUUUCUUUUCCUUCUUCAAUUUGUUGACAGUAACAUAAAAAUGAGCAUUUUACAAAUCUACAUUCACAGAUAUCAUAUCAUAGAGCAUCUUUUCCUUUAAGAAAACAAAAUUUGCAUGCCAGUUAGAGACCCACACUCAACUGAUAAGUUGAAGUACACGACAGCGAACUUGCUCCCCAGAUUCGGAUCGGCCGAUCAGGCUAUUGACACAAAACACAACGGGUAUCUAAUAGUUUAUACAGACUGCAGAAUGCACGGACGAUCACACCCGAUUCAGGACAGGCAAUGAAACACCAAGUUAUGCCUACACACAUACGCAUAGAUGCAUGUCCGAUCAAACGUUUAUUUACAUGAUCUUUUGGCCGUGAUCGUCGACAGUCCCUCCCUGGAACGCCGCCCUGUUCCUCCGGAUGAAUUCCUCCGCCAGCUCGUUCACGUCAGGCACCGCCGCCUUUCCGCUGGCGGCGGUGGCCGGAGGGCCGCGCGGAGGCAGGACGAUCGCCGCCGUUGUUGUCGGUGGUGGCGUUACUCCGUCCACGACCACCUCGAUCUUCUCCACCCUCUCGACAUGGACCUCGCCGUCCACGACCACACGCGCCGCAACAUUGUUGUUGGCACCUCGCCACAUCUUGGGCAGAUUAUUAAUUACUCCACUAUUCUUCUUCUCACCCUUCUGAUCGCGAUCAAUCGACGAUGGCGCACUCGAAAACUGCGAGAUAUGGAGAUGGGUGAUCCGCGACCGUGUUAUUUAUAGGCUCCAGCAGCUGCUUUGUGAUGAUGCAGCCUACUGUUGCUUGAUCGGUCGUUGUGCGACUCUUUCCAACGAUCGAUCAUGUGAACACAGGUUCAGGUUGGCAGAUGCUGCCUGUAGAUGGUUAAAGCGGAGUAGACUACCGUGACGUAACAAGGACGGCAUGUAGUCAUGCAUCCGUUCAACACUUCAAAUAACCAAGUCAGCACGUAAAGCUAGAUAGACAUGGUUGCAGAAAACGUGCAAGCUUAGGCACGAAGCUGGUGAUGAGAAGUCCAAUAGAGUUUGGUUUUUCACACUACUACAAUAAAGCUCUACGCAAGCGGUCCGGUUAGCCUCUACACAAGCUCUUUCAGGAACCGCUUGAGACGCUCCGCUUGUGAUGUAAAACAACAUCUCAGGCGGUCGAUCAAAAACCGCUUGAGAUAGACACACAUCACAGGCGGUUUUUACCAAACAAACCGCUUGUGAUAGGCCAACAUCACAGGCGGUUUCUUCCAAACAAACCGCUUGUGAUAGGCCAACAUCACAGGCGGUUUGGUCUAAAUGGACCGCUUGUGAGAAACAAACACUGAGCUUGUGUUUCAGAGACAUCACAGGCGGGUUGGAAGAAAAACCGCUUGUGGUACGAACAUAUCACAGGCUGUUUAUAAGCCAAUCCGCUUGUGAUAGGAACAUAUCACAAGCGGUUUUGAGCUGAGCCGCUUGUGAUAAAUUCAUAUCACAGGCUGUUUGUAAGCCAAUCCGCUUGUGAUAGGAACAUAUCACAAGCGGUUUUAAGCCCAACCGCUUGUGAUAAAUACAUAUCACAAGCGGUUUGCAAGCCCAGACGCUUGUGAUCUAACACAUCACAAGCGGUUUAAUAUGUCCAGAUUCAUAUCCAAAUUCAAUUUGCAUUCAUAAAUCAUAUCCAGAUUCAUACAGCAAAUAGAUAUACAGAUUCAUACAAAUCACAGAUCACAUUCACAGAACGACAACAGUAGUAUUAUCACCAAACCAUAAUUUACAGCAGCUCAAGUUCAAGUCCAUACAUCAACAUUGAAGAACAGGCCACACAUGACAUAAGCUAAACAAAUUCAAGGUCUAAACACUGUGAGCUAGAUUGUACAAUUCUGGGAGAUCAGACAACUUUCCCUUUUCAUUGAAGAGUAGUCCAUUUGGGGGAAGAACUUCACGGUGCAAAAAGGAAAGCAAGUCUCUUACAACCUUAGCCACGCCGACAGUAGCCAUAUCUCUUCCUUGCGAUUCAUCCUUGAUGUUGGAUUUAGAAACCUGGAAUGAAAGCGAAAGGUGCUUUGUAAUAGUAAUGUCAUGGGCUGCAAUAAAAAAAUUGAAACAUAGACAAUGAUAGGGAACUUACAUCCUCACGGUUGACACGACUCCAUUCACAUACAUAAUAACCGCACAGGACAGUACCAGGAGGUUGUUUCUGACUGGUUGAACAUAAUGAUAUUGACAAAUUAGGCUUGUCCUCUGGAUGCUCGCCGCCAAGAUCUUUGUAAUAAAAACGGUAUGCGUUGCAUAUAAGAAUACCAUUGUGAGAUUAAGACAAUACAUUUGCUAAGUUGUAAGUACAAGUGUAAAAUAGUCAUACUUCUCUAAAAUCUUCAAGAAGUCAUUAUAUGCAUCCUUUUGCAUUCUCAGCGAGUCGAAGACCAUGGCUGUACCACUCUUUGGAAAGAUCUUGAUACAAAUGUAGUGGUCACUACAUAUACAUAUACGAAAACACAUGUUAAGAUCACGAUUGCCAUAAUUUGUAGUUCAAAACCAUGUGGAGAACUUACUUAAAGUGGUGCGGAGCUAUUAUUAACUCCUUGCCAUGUUGUACAUGAUUGUACAUGGCUCGCCCGAUGUAUGCUGCCAUUAGCCUCUUUUUUUUUCUUUGAUUCUUUUUGACUGCUCUCUCAAAUUCAUCAUCAUCAAGGUCUUUGUAUUCUUCUCCAUGUCUCCGAACAACUUCUUUGUAGCGAGCUUGGGAUAUCAUCAAUGGAUCAAGAAACCCUGUCUGAAGUUGUUUCUUCUUACCAUCUAUGUACUGCAUCCUACAUGUAAGAAGCAAUAAUUGUUAGAAUCUGUGCUGUACAAAACUAACAGACAUUAAAGUUUAGAGGUACUUACAAGCAAAAGAGGGUUAAGUAGUUGGUUUCCAUCCUUUUUCGAUGGUACAACGACCACAGAUCGUCAAAGAAUAAAUACCGCACAGCAUCUACAUUAUCUUUGCUCCAAAAUGCAUCAUCUGGCACAACAUAUGAGAAGCCCUCGAGUUUGUGUUUGUUGCUAGCCACCAUGUACCACUCAUGCAUUGUAAUCUCUGCAGCCGACAACUUAGAAAGUUGCACCGUUGUCAAGAACGGCCUCCCAUUCUCAAAUUUAGGAGGAACAUCCUCCUUCUUGUAUAUCGGGAUAUCGACUUUAAGACGUAAUGAAUCUCGAGUAUGAAUCAUUCCAUCUUCUUCCCAUACCUCGAGCUUGUCUUUUAAUUGGGACCGUGUGCGUACUCCACAAGAUGCUGAUUCUGCUUUUGACUGAUCUGUCAUAACUCUCUUCAACCUUUCCAAGUAGCGUGUCACAACUUCUGCCGGUUUCUUGACAUUGUCAGUGGCUAUUUGUUGAUGAAUUUUCUUUGAAGUACUUGGCCCUGCAACAUUGGUGUCAACCUUUGCUUCCUUUCUAAUGUCAGCAUCAACAUUCUGAGGAACAAUUCUGUCCACAUCCCCCUCCUCAACUGCCUUCUUCAGAGGUGAUAUGACUGUUUCACUAGUUUUGUGGGAGGCCGGUGCUAUACUUUCCUGCACCAUGGGGAUUGAACUAUCUUUCUGUUGCAUGGGUGUUGAAGUUGGUGUUGGUGACUUAUGACGCGAUAGGGGGCUUGAGAUCAGCUCAUCACCCAACUUAAUGUCGCGUCGAUGCCAAAGGACCAACUUAUUCACUGCUUGCUGCAAAGUCAUGAUCCCCUCAACUGGAUAGUCUAUCUCCCAAUCUUCACAACCACUAUCUGUGAUCUCUAGAACUUGGACCACAGCAUAGAAUGGCGGAACAGGACUAUCAUUGCAGCAAAGCAGUCCUGGUUUUACCACACCAAUAGCAGCCUGUUUUGUUUUUGUCCCAGAUCGAUUGAUUGGAAUAUGAAGACGGCAAGGCGUGUCCUCAACAAUGAAGUCUACAGGGAACUUGGUGCCCGAUCCCAAGCUUUGCACAGAUCCUACACUGCUAGGGACUAGAGGUGGACUCAUGGGGCCUGGAUGCUGUUCACUCGGUACACAUCCUGUUUCCUUCAUUCUCUUCAUUGCUUCACUAAUAGCCUUCUGUACCCUUUCAUCAAUAGCCUCUUCAAGGGUCCUUUUCGCCUUCUCAUGUUUCCUGUAUGACGAUGCAUACUCUGGAAAUGCCUCUCUCCAGGAAAUCUUAGAAGAGAUUCCCCGAGCCCGUCCAGUGUGUUCAGGAGUGCCAAGUGCUGCAGUUAGUAUGUCAUUCUCCCUCCGAGGCUUAAACUCGCCCUUCUUUCUCUUUUCUGCAUAUUCUUGAACUUUUUCUGCAACUUCACCAACCAAUUCUGGAUGCAACAGUUUGCCCUCAUUAGUCAAACCUGCACGAGCUAAGAUCCAACGAAGAGCUCGCUCAUCGAUAUCUUUUAAUAAUGGGUCCAAAGUGCCAUUGGCCAUAGCUUCCUCAAUUAUCCUGUUCCACUCCAUUGCUUUAGGGAGAUAUCCGGUUGACCCGAGGCGAUGGGGGUGUUUGUUCUUCUUUGCUCUCUGAGAAUUAGUUUCGCUCAGCUCUUUGGCCUUCGGUUCGGUCUUCUGACGAACAAAUUCCUCCCACUGAGCUUGUGUGAUUUUCCCCAUUUUCUUCGGCGGAGGAACCCUGUUCUUCUUAACAAAAUCCCUAUUCAUCUCAACCUUCCACCCACGAAACCUCCUGGCCAUAGCAGAGAGCAUCGACUUCCUUACUGCAUCCUCCGUGCCUUUCGGGACCCUGAAUGACUCUGACAUCUUAGCCCAUAGCCUAUUGCGGGUGUCCUCAUCCAAAUCCUUCCACUUCUUAAGUGUGAUCGGCACUAUAUCUCUGACAAUAGCCCCACAGGCAUUUCGGAACUUUGUAACCACAUCAAGUGGUUCUUCAGGAAACCCCUCUGCAUUGAGCUUUGUUAUGUACAUGACUGCACCGGCCUUCAGCUGAUUGGGACCUCGUGGCCCUCGUUUCCGCUUCUGUGAAACAGAUGAUUCAGCCACCGGAGCUUCCUCUGUGUUUCCCGUAGAGCAUGCCUCCUCUUUUUUCUCUUCAUUUGAGACCUAUAUAUUCAAACAAUUGAUGGCCUUUAAUAUAUGGACAUAUUUUAGAUGCUACAUAAUUUAAGUUAUCAGGCUGAUUUCUAUUUACCUCCUCUUCGUUGGGAAUAUAGUCAGCAUCAAGCUCAUCUGAAGUUUUUCUCUGUCUCGGAGGUAUGGGUGUUGAAGGAUUGUCAUCACUAGGACUAUCCUCCUCCCCGCUGCCUUCACUGGAACUGCUUGAUGUCUGCCAAUGGAGUCUGGUCGCGUCUUCAUUAGAUUUGUUACAGACACCGGUCAAGUCCAUAUCAUCCAUCCUAGUAACAAAUACAAGCACUGCACAUCAGUAGAAAAAUUUAAGCUAAUUCUAUGUAACUGAAAAGGAUGAAUCAAUGCAAUUCAGAGCAAGAAUACAUGCUAUCUCAGAACAUAAGAGGCAGUUCAUGCUAACAAAUAGAGGUUAACAUAAGAGGCAGUUCAUGUAUUGUUAUCAUCUAGGAACAACAACUGUAUUCUGUAAAGGCCAGUGCACUAGAGCAGCAUCUAGGAAGAACAAUUGAUGUACGUAUAUGUGAACUGUGAGGCAGAGAAUCAACUACGAGAAGGCCCAGGAACAGGUACAACCGUGGCUGCACUGGGCUCGGGGACGGCGGUGCUCCACUCGCGGACGGCGGACGGCGGCACUCCGCUCGGGGACGGCGGCACUCCGCUCGGGGACGGCGGCACUCCGCUCGGGGACGGCGGCCCUCCGCUUGGGCACGGCGGCACUCCGCUCGGGGACGGCGCCCCUCCGCUCGGGGACGGUGGCCCUCCGCUAGGGCACGGCGGCGCUCCGCUCGGGGACGGCGCCGCUCCGCCCCGAGCGGCGCUCCGCUCGGGGACGGCGCCCCUCCGCUCGGGGACGGCGGGCCUCCGCUAGGGCACGGCGGCACUCCGCUCGGGGACGGCGCCGCUCCCCUCGGGGACGGCGGCGCUCCACUCGGGGACGGCGGCGCUCCGCUCGGCUCGAGGAUGGCGCGGCCCUCCGGCCGGCAAGGGGAUGGCGGCGGGGAAGGACACGGCUGGCGCGGUAGGCGGGCGAUGAAAAUUUUGUCUGGCGGCGCGCCUCCGGGAGGGAGAUGAAAAUUUUGUUUGGGGCGCGCCUGCGUGGGACACAUAGGCAUCCAUCUGUUCACAAGCGCUUUUUCCUUGAAGACCGCCUGUGAUGCAGAACAUCACAAGCGCUUUUUCCUUCACGACCGCUUGUGCCGUGGAACAUCUCAAGCGCUUUUUCCUUCCCGACCGCUUGUGAAACAGCUUGCGAUACGCUUUUCCUUCCCAAGCGCUUUUUCCUUCCAGUCCGCUUGGGAUAACUUUUUUCAAUUUUUGGUCUUAUGAAAUUUCGUUUCAGAAUAAUCUGUGUGUGAACGUUGGAUAAAUCUUUUGGUACAAUUUCUACAUAUCAUAUAGUGCAUGAGUGUCGCUGCAUAGAGUUUUCAUGAAUUUUCGAGUUCGGUAACUAUUUAAUUGUAUUUAAAUGAAUUUCUACAUGCUUCUUGAGAGUAAUUCGAACUUGAACUAAGAGUACAAACAAUAUGUCUCAAAAAAAUUCCUGAAAAAUAUAUAUUGUUUGAUGUGUUAUAGUAUUGACUAAUUUCCAGAAAAUGAUCCAAAAUUUAAUUGUUUGUUAACUAAAAAAGGUACCUUUGCUCUGUGUGAUGGCAACAAAUAAAUCUUAUAAUAUGGAUCUUUUGUCCAAAAAAUCUAUAACUUGACAUGGCAUCAUACUUUAGGUUACUGAACUCCUAGAAAAAAAAUCACUUGAUUUUGACAACUUUGGAAACACACUUGUUCAUAGGAUCAUUGAUUUAGUUCACUUUAUAUUAACUUGUGACUCUUACUUGUGAUCCUAUGAACAAGUGUGUUUCUAAAGUUGUCGAAAUCAAGUGAUUUUUUUCUAGGAGUUCAGUAACCUAAAGUAUGAUGCCAUGUCAAGUUAUAGAUUUUUUGGACAAAAAAUCCAUAUUAUUAGAUUUAUUUGUUGCCAUCACACAGAGCAAAGGUACCAUUUUUAGUUAACAAACAAUUAAAUUUUGGAUCAUUUUCUGGAAAUUAGUCAAUACUAUAACACAUCAAACAAUAUAUAUUUUUCAGGAAUUUUUUUGAGACAUAUUGUUUGUACUCUUAGUUCAAGUUCGAAUUACUCUCAAGAAGCAUGUAGAAAUUCAUUUAAAUACAAUUAAAUAGUUACCAAACUCGAAAAUUCAUGAAAACUCUAUGCAGCGACACUCAUGCACUAUAUGAUAUGUAGAAAUUGUACCAAAAGAUUUAUCCAACGUUCACACACAGAUUAUUCUGAAACGAAAUUUCAUAAGACCAAAAAUUGAAAAAAGUUAUCCCAAGCGGACUGGAAGGAAAAAGCGCUUGGGAAGGAAAAGCGUAUCGCAAGCUGUUUCACAAGCGGUCGGGAAGGAAAAAGCGCUUGAGAUGUUCCACGUCACAAGCGGUCGUGAAGGAAAAAGCGCUUGUGAUGUUCUGCAUCACAGGCGGUCUUCAAGGAAAAAGCGCUUGUGAAGUUCUGCAUCACAAGCGGUUUCCGUGUAUCUCAAGCGGAUUUUGGUUUAUAUCCGCUUGUGGUGUGUGUACAUUAUGAACUGGUUGGAAUCGAGUUGCAGAGGAACCCUUUCGAGUUUCUACCGUUGCCUAACAGCGCCGCCAAGGCUGCCGUUGGCGAGCUGCCGCCGUCCCUGCCCCGACGCCGCGACGUGGGACGAGCUGCCGCCGCCGUCCACGAGCGCCGCGGCCCCGAGCGCCGCGCCGUCCACGAGCGCCGCUGUCCCCGAGCGUCGCGCCGUCCACGGGCUGGCGCCGCGGGCCCCGAGCGCCGAUUCGUGUCCACGAGCUGCCGCCGCCGGCCCAGAGCGCCACGCCGAACGUCCACGAGCUGCCGCCGUCCCAGAGCGUCGCGCCGUCCAGGAGCUGCCGCCGUCCCCGAGCGUCGCGCCAUCUACGGCUGGCGCGCGGGCCCCGAGCGCCGAUUCGCGUCCACGAGCUGCCGCCGCCGGCCCAGAGUGCCACGCCGUACGUCCACGAGCUGCCGCCAUCCCAGAGCGUCGCGCCGUCCAGGAGCUGCCGCCGUCCCCGAGCGUCGUGCCGUGUACAAGCUGCUGUCCCCGAGCAGAGCGCCGCGCGUCCACGAGCUGAUGAACCGACCCCAAGCCGCAAGGUAUCCUCAUCAAAUUUGUCUGUUGCUUUAGUUUAUGCACAUUCGUUCAUGAUUUAGUGAUCGAAUUCAAUUAAUUAGGGGUUUUUGUAGUUCAUGGCAUAGAAUUUUGAAGAUUCAGACUUCUGUCAUGUACCUAUCGAUAUGAUCUUGUUUCACUGUCAUGUACCUAUCGUCAUAUGGUCUUGAAUUCAAUUUACGUUAAUCAAUAUAGGGACAGGCAAUGGACCGAGGUUGGAUGUACAAUGUGCCAAGACCACAUCCGUCGUACAUUCGAAAUGUCAGAAGCUUUAUUGAAGCGGCCAACAAGCACGCGAAUAUGCGAAAAAGUAAGGAGAUAUUGUGCCCAUGCAUCGAUUGUGAUAAUAAGGUAGCUUGGAGAGAUACAGGAGCAAUCCAAUCACAUCUGCUCAAAAGAGGGUUCAAAAACAAUUACACGAUAUGGACAGAACAUGGUGAGCUGGAUCCGUGUGAAGUGCUUGGUAAUGACGAAAGUGCUGUGGGAAUGUUAGCUAAAAAGGAUGGUAAAGUGGAUUCUGUGGAUGCCAAUCAAGAUUUUGUAGAAUUUGAUUGCGAAGACAUGUUGCGCCAUAUGGAUCCAGAAAUGUUGAGUUCUAUGGGAUCACAGAAGAAAGAUCUACCUAAAUUGGAGGGUCUGGAAAGUGCCUCAAAAGAACCUUUAUAUGAUGAAUCAAAGGGCUGUGACAAAGAGUUUACUACACUGCGUACAGUUCUUGAACUUCUUAAGUUGAAGGCUAGCGCCGGAUGGUCUGAUACUAGCUUCACAGAUCUUUUAAAAUUUCUAUCCCAACUCCUACCAAAACCCAACAAAUACCAACCAGCACUUAUAAAGCGAAGAAGCUUAUAUCUCCCGUAGCUCUAGGUGUGCAAAAAAUUCAUGCAUGUCCGAACCAUUGUAUUCUGUAUCGUGGCGAGUUUGAGAACGCAACAAGAUGCCCAGUUUGCAAUGUUAGUCGAUACAAGAAGAGCUACAAUCAAGAGUGUGUGAACAAAAUCGCAAAGAUAAAUAGAAACAAGAAAGCCGCUAUCGGACCUGAAAUUGAUGAUGACACUUUUGAUGACAUGGAUGGCAAAAGGAGGUCAAAGAUCCCAGCUUUGGUGAUGUGGUAUCUUCCAGUAAUUGAUCGCUUGAAGCGUUUGUUCUCGAACCCUAGGGAGGCUGAGCUUAUGCGCUGGCAUGCUGAAAGUUGCAAGCAGAAUAACAAACAGAUUCGACACCCUGCUGAUGCAUCACAGUGGAAAACUUUUGAUCAUUUGUAUCCUGAGUUUGCCAAAGAAAUCAGAAAUGUAAGAUUUGCUUUGGGUACAGACGGAAUGAAUCCAUUUGGUGAAAAAAGAAGUAUACAUAGCACCUGGCCCGUGACUCUGACGAUGUACAACCUUCCGUCAUGGUUGUGUCACAAAAGGAAGUACAUUAUGUUGAUUAUUCUUAUUCAAGGUCCGAAAGCAGCUGGUGUUGAUAUUGAUGUGUUCCUGGAACCUCUUAUGGAAGAUAUGGCGAAGCUCUGGAAUGAAGGAGUUCGAAUAUGGGAUGAGUAUCGCCAGGAGUAUUUCAACCUAAGAGCAAUUAUAUUUGUUACCAUCCAUGAUUCUCCCGGGGGCGCCACACUUUCAGGGCAAAAGACCAAAGGAAAGAAUGGUUGUGUAGUGUGCGUGGAGGGAACUGCUUCCUUAUACCUUAAAUCAUCCAAGAAGUUGGUGUUCAUGGGACACAGACGGUUCUUGAUGAAGCAGCAUAAGUACCGAAAGAUGAAAGAGGAAUUUAACAAUGAACUGGAAAGUGAAGGUGCACCAAAGCCUUAUAGCGGGAAACUCAUUUUUGAAAUUGUAAAAAACAUUCAGGUUGUAUUCGGAAAGGGGAAAAAAAACAAAGGAGAAAAGAGAAAGAGAACUGACCCUUCAACUGACACAACUUUCAAGAAGCAAUCGAUUUUUUUCAAGUACCUCCCAUACUGGAAGGAUAUGGAAAUUUGCCACAGCAUUGAUUUGAUGCAUGUAACAAAGAAUGUUUUUGAUAGCAUCAUUGGAACCUUACUGGGCAUGCCGAGUAAGACAAAGGAUGGACUUAAGUCACGCCAGGACCUAGUAGAUCUUCAAAUCAGAUCGGAACUUCAUCCAGUGGAUAGUGGCAAAGGGAAGCCUUACCUUCCCCCAGCU
RNAcentral lists this long non-coding RNA (25973 nucleotides) under Panicum hallii. RNAcentral describes it as "long non-coding RNA (PHAL_LNC000257)". The record is from RNAcentral. Lineage: Eukaryota; Viridiplantae; Streptophyta; Magnoliopsida; Poales; Poaceae.